GGCGGCUUGGUCAGGGCUUGAUCGGCACCGUCGACGCCGGCGCCUCCGGCUUGGCCGGCGCGGGCGUCGCCGGUGCAGCCGCCGGCUGUCC
RNAcentral lists this transfer RNA (91 nucleotides) under compost metagenome. RNAcentral's name for it is "tRNA-Val". The record is from RNAcentral.